GUCUACAGCCAUACUACCCUGAAUGUGCCCGACCUCAUCUGAUCUCUGAAGCUAAGCAGGAUUGGGCCUGGUUAGUACUUGGAUAGGAGAAUGGGAGUAGGGAGAAAAAAGAGAAUAGUGGAGGUAGUAAAUU
Molecule: ribosomal RNA, 133 nt
Filed under: Castor canadensis (American beaver)
Lineage: Eukaryota; Metazoa; Chordata; Mammalia; Rodentia; Castoridae
Source: RNAcentral